Molecule: ribosomal RNA, 305 nt
Filed under: uncultured bacterium
Lineage: Bacteria
Description: bacterial SSU rRNA
Rfam family: Bacterial small subunit ribosomal RNA
Source: RNAcentral
GUGGUCCUACGGGGGGCAGCAGUGGGGAAUAUUGCACAAUGGGGGAAACCCUGAUGCAGCGACGCCGCGUGAGUGAAGAAGUAUUUCGGUAUGUAAAGCUCUAUCAGCAGGGAAGAAAGAAAUGACGGUACCUGACUAAGAGGCCCCGGCUAACUACGUGCCAGCAGCCGCGGUAAUACGUAGGGGGCAAGCGUUAUCCGGAUUUACUGGGUGUAAAGGGAGCGUAGACGGCAAUGCAAGUCUGGAGUGAAAGGCGGGGGCCCAACCCCCGGACUGCUCUGGAAACUGUAUAGCUGGAGUGCAGG